This 253-nucleotide ribosomal RNA is filed under the name uncultured bacterium. Its description in RNAcentral is "partial 16S ribosomal RNA". It matches the Rfam family "Bacterial small subunit ribosomal RNA", at positions 524 to 776 of the family's 1533-position model. The record is from RNAcentral.
UACGGGGGGGGCAAGCGUUGUCCGGAAUUAUUGGGCGUAAAGCGCGCGCAGGCGGUCCUUUAAGUCUGAUGUGAAAGCCCACGGCUCAACCGUGGAGGGUCAUUGGAAACUGGGGGACUUGAGUGCAGAAGAGGAAAGUGGAAUUCCAAGUGUAGCGGUGAAAUGCGUAGAGAUUUGGAGGAACACCAGUGGCGAAGGCGACUUUCUGGUCUGUAACUGACGCUGAGGCGCGAAAGCGUGGGGAGCAAACAGG